UAGGGGACAGACUAUUUGUUGAGGGA
RNAcentral lists this non-coding RNA (26 nucleotides) under Mus musculus (house mouse). The record is from RNAcentral. Lineage: Eukaryota; Metazoa; Chordata; Mammalia; Rodentia; Muridae.